UAUGGGCGAGUGGCUGCGCACUGAAGCCUUGUCUCUGUAUACGCCCCUACGCGGACUCUGCUGUAGAUUUGCUCCAAAGCGCAUGUGUUAAAGCCUUACCAGGCGCACUCGCCAGCCACGCUCCGCGCACGUUGCGCUUAAUAUUGAUGUUAUAGGAAUAUCCCCAUGUCCCAGACUACCGGCACCGUUAAGUGGUUUAACGAAGAGAAAGGUUUUGGUUUUAUCACUCCGGACAACGGCGGUGCUGACGUAUUCGUACACUUCCGCGCUAUCCAGUCCGACGGUUUCAAGACCCUGGCUGAAGGCCAAAAGGUUGCUUUCGACGUUGAGCAAGGCCAGAAAGGUCCUCAAGCGGCGAACGUUACCAAGGUGUAAGCACCCUGAUUGAGAAAAAAGCCGGCAUCUGCCGGCUUUUUUUCU
Molecule: small RNA, 420 nt
Filed under: Ferrimonas marina
Lineage: Bacteria; Pseudomonadati; Pseudomonadota; Gammaproteobacteria; Alteromonadales; Ferrimonadaceae
Description: cspA thermoregulator
Rfam family: cspA thermoregulator
Source: Rfam by way of RNAcentral